UACGUAGGUGGCAAGCGUUGUCCGGAUUUACUGGGCGUAAAGGGCGUGCAGGCGGUUUGUUAAGUCUAGGGUGAAAGCUCCCGGCUCAACUGGGAGAGGUCCUUGGAUACUGGCGAACUUGAGGGAUGCAGAGGAAAGUGGAAUUCCCGGUGUAGUGGUGAUAUGCGUAGAUAUCGGGAGGAACACCAGUGGCGAAGGCGGCUUUCUGGGCAUUUCCUGACGCUGAGACGCGAAAGCGUGGGGAGCGAACCGGAUUAGAAACCCCCGUAGUCC
Molecule: ribosomal RNA, 273 nt
Filed under: uncultured bacterium
Lineage: Bacteria
Description: partial 16S ribosomal RNA
Rfam family: Bacterial small subunit ribosomal RNA
Source: RNAcentral